AGAGUUUGAUCAUGGCUCAGGAUGAACGCUAGCUACAGGCUUAACACAUGCAAGUCGAGGGGAAACGAUAGAGAAAGCUUGCUUUUUCUAGGCGUCGACCGGCGCACGGGUGAGUAACGCGUAUCCAACCUGCCCACCACUUGGGGAUAACCUUGCGAAAGUAAGACUAAUACCCAAUGACGUCUCUAGAAGACAUCUGAAAGGGAUUAAAGAUUUAUCGGUGAUGGAUGGGGAUGCGUCUGAUUAGCUUGUUGGCGGGGUAACGGCCCACCAAGGCAACGAUCAGUAGGGGUUCUGAGAGGAAGGUCCCCCACAUUGGAACUGAGACACGGUCCAAACUCCUACGGGAGGCAGCAGUGAGGAAUAUUGGUCAAUGGGCGAGAGCCUGAACCAGCCAAGUAGCGUGCAGGAUGACGGCCCUAUGGGUUGUAAACUGCUUUUAUAAGGGAAUAAAGUGAGCCUCGUGAGGCUUUUUGCAUGUACCUUAUGAAUAAGGACCGGCUAAUUCCGUGCCAGCAGCCGCGGUAAUACGGAAGGUCCGGGCGUUAUCCGGAUUUAUUGGGUUUAAAGGGAGCGUAGGCCGGAGAUUAAGCGUGUUGUGAAAUGUAGAUGCUCAACAUCUGCACUGCAGCGCGAACUGGUUUCCUUGAGUACGCACAAAGUGGGCGGAAUUCGUGGUGUAGCGGUGAAAUGCUUAGAUAUCACGAAGAACUCCGAUUGCGAAAGCAGCUCACUGGAGCGCAACUGACGCUGAAGCUCGAAAGUGCGGGUAUCGAACAGGAUUAGAUACCCUGGUAGUCCGCACGGUAAACGAUGGAUGCCUGCUGUUGGUCUGAAUAGGUCAGCGGCCAAGCGAAAGCAUUAAGCA
RNAcentral lists this ribosomal RNA (868 nucleotides) under uncultured bacterium. Its description in RNAcentral is "bacterial SSU rRNA". It matches the Rfam family "Bacterial small subunit ribosomal RNA", at positions 8 to 866 of the family's 1533-position model. The record is from RNAcentral.